This is a long non-coding RNA of Nothoprocta perdicaria, 899 nucleotides long. RefSeq lists it as uncharacterized. The record is from RefSeq and is a predicted model, not a curated record. The transcript has 2 exons. Lineage: Eukaryota; Metazoa; Chordata; Aves; Tinamiformes; Tinamidae.
CCGGCCCGCCCCGCGGCGGCAGCCGCUCCAGCGACGACCUGAGCGCCUACGCCAGCAUCAGCUUCCAGCAGCGGCGCGACGUGUAGGAGCGGCCGGCGCAGAACGAUGACCUAUACAACCUCAGCAAAUCCUUCUUUUAACUCAUGGGUAUCAAGACUCUAAAUGUUUCAUGUUAUCACAACUAGGACCUCACCUCCUCCUCCUCCUCCUCCUCUUCCUCUGUAAAUGGGUACGAUGCAUCCAGUUCAGUUUGUUUACUUUACACAAACCUCAGGAGUUAGUUGACUGAGCUGCACACCCCGUGUUGUGCCAAGCAGAAGCACUGUGACACCUGGACUCUGAGUCUCUCUUACUUCAUCCUCUACCAUAAAGGACUUAGCUGGCCACAAUGAACUGAUGUGCCCACCACUGUGUCAUGGUGAGAAUGGGUAUUUUACUAGCACAUUUACACAACUUCAUUUGCUGCUGAAAACCUGUAUGACAAAUCAUCAUUGUAAAUUAUUGCAUACAAAACGUAAUGUUGGUUGAAGAGUAUUAAAUAUUUAACAUAGGUUUUGAUUUAUACAUGUACUUUUUUAAUUAAAAUGUAACUUUUCCUACAGCACAUCUUUUUUUGAUGUGGAACUGAGGUAUACUAUAUUCUGUUGUAAACAGAGUGGGAAACUGCUUAAAACAAGGCUUCUAAGAAUAGAGUAGGGUACUAUUCUUGUUUUAAGAUUGUAAUUCAGAAAAUAAUAUAAUAUGAGUCAUUGGUCCCUGGGCCUUGAUUGUACAGUCAUAUUUACUGAUGCUAUCAGUUGUAAGAUAACCCUGAUGUUAAGUUCUUUCCAAAAGAAAAAUAAUUUUGUACUCCUUGUAAAAUAAUAGUCUGUAUUAACGACAAUGAAGACAAAUUUUAC